UUUUUGGCAUUGAGAGGAGCUCGCGGCCUAUCAGCUAGUUGGUGGGUAAUGGCCUACCAAGGCUUUGACGGGUAGCUGGUCUGAGAGGAUGGCCAGCCACAUUGGGACUGAGAUACGGCCCAGACUCCUACGGGAGGCAGCAGUGGGGAAUAUUGCGCAAUGGCCGAAAGGCUGACGCAGCGACGCCGCGUGGGGGAUGAAGCAUUUCGGUGUGUAAACCCCUGUUGCCCGGGACGAACAACUGGUUUUGACCAGUCUGACGGUACCGGGUGAGGAAGCACCGGCUAACUCCGUG
RNAcentral lists this ribosomal RNA (295 nucleotides) under uncultured bacterium. Its description in RNAcentral is "partial 16S ribosomal RNA". It matches the Rfam family "Bacterial small subunit ribosomal RNA", at positions 211 to 507 of the family's 1533-position model. The record is from RNAcentral.